CAAAUUAGAGUUUGAAAAUAAAUAUUCCAUUUACAUUGGAAAGAUAAUGGUUAUCAUUUAAUUUGA
This 66-nucleotide transfer RNA is filed under the name Reissita simonyi yemenicola. Its description in RNAcentral is "transfer RNA-Val (GUN)". The record is from RNAcentral. Lineage: Eukaryota; Metazoa; Arthropoda; Insecta; Lepidoptera; Zygaenidae.